GAUGAAGAACGCAGCGAAAUGCGAUAAGUAAUGUGAAUUGCAGAAUUCAGUGAAUCAUCGAAUCUUUGAACGCACAUUGCGCCCGCCAGUAUUCUGGCGGGCAUGCCUGUUCGAGCGUCAUUUCAACCAUCAAGCCCCAGGCUUGUUUUGGGGACCUGCGGCUGCCGCAGGCCCUGAAAACCAGUGGCGGGCUCGCUGUCACACCGGGCGUAGUAGAUUUUAUCUCGCUCAGGGCGUGCUGCGGGUCCCGGCCGUUAAAAGCCUUUUUUUACCCAAGGUUGACCUCGGAUCAGGUAGGAAGACCCGCUGAACUUAAGCAUAUCAAUAAGCGGAGGA
Molecule: unclassified non-coding RNA, 336 nt
Filed under: soil metagenome
Description: partial contains 5.8S ribosomal RNA, internal transcribed spacer 2, and large subunit ribosomal RNA
Rfam family: 5.8S ribosomal RNA (bases 1-120)
Source: RNAcentral